This 429-nucleotide ribosomal RNA is filed under the name Chloroflexota bacterium. RNAcentral describes it as "Chloroflexi bacterium partial 16S ribosomal RNA". It matches the Rfam family "Bacterial small subunit ribosomal RNA", at positions 355 to 776 of the family's 1533-position model. Lineage: Bacteria; Bacillati; Chloroflexota. The record is from RNAcentral.
UAGGGAAUCUUCGGCAAUGGACGAAAGUCUGACCGAGCAACGCCGCGUGAGUGAAGAAGGUUUUCGGAUCGUAAAACUCUGUUGUUCGAGAAGAACAAGGACGUUAGUAACUGAACGUCCCCUGACGGUAUCUAACCAGAAAGCCACGGCUAACUACGUGCCAGCCGCCGCGGUAAUACGUAGGUGGCAAGCGUUGUCCGGAUUUAUUGGGCGUAAAGCGAGCGCAGGCGGUUUCUUAAGUCUGAUGUGAAAGCCCCCGGCUCAACCGGGGAGGGUCAUUGGAAACUGGGAGACUUGAGUGCAGAAGAGGAGAGUGGAAUUCCAGGUGUAGCGGUGAAAUGCGUAGAUAUAUGGAGGAACACCAGUGGCGAAGGCGGCUCUCUGGUCUGUAACUGACGCUGAGGCUCGAAAGCGUGGGGAGCAAACAGG